Molecule: transfer RNA, 74 nt
Filed under: Nitrosopumilales archaeon
Lineage: Archaea; Thermoproteati; Nitrososphaerota; Nitrososphaeria; Nitrosopumilales
Also listed under: 2 other names
Description: tRNA-Ala
Rfam family: tRNA
About the family: Transfer RNA (tRNA) molecules are approximately 80 nucleotides in length.
Source: RNAcentral
GGGCCGGUCGUUCAGCCUGGUAGGAUGCGCGCAUGGCAUGCGUGAGGUCAAGGGUUCAAAUCCCUUCCGGUCCA